RNAcentral lists this ribosomal RNA (682 nucleotides) under uncultured bacterium. Its description in RNAcentral is "bacterial SSU rRNA". It matches the Rfam family "Bacterial small subunit ribosomal RNA", at positions 108 to 788 of the family's 1533-position model. The record is from RNAcentral.
GAGUAACGCGUAUGCAACCUACCCUUUACAGGGGGAUAGCUCGGAGAAAUUCGGAUUAAUACCCCAUAUUUUUAUCAGAUGGCAUCAUUAGAUAAACAAAGUUACGGCGGUAAAGGAUGGGCAUGCGUGCCAUUAGUUAGUUGGUGAGGUAAAGGCUCACCAAGACAUCGAUGGCUAGGGGGUCUGAGAGGAUGGUCCCCCACACUGGUACUGAGACACGGACCAGACUCCUACGGGAGGCAGCAGUGAGGAAUAUUGGUCAAUGGGCGCAAGCCUGAACCAGCCAUGCCGCGUGCAGGAUGACAGCUCUAUGGGUUGUAAACUGCUUUUAUACGGGAAGAAUAGCCUGAACGUGUUCGGGACUGACUGUACUGUAUGAAUAAGCAUCGGCUAACUCCGUGCCAGCAGCCGCGGUAAUACGGAGGAUGCAAGCGUUAUCCGGAUUUAUUGGGUUUAAAGGGUGCGUAGGCGGGAUAUUAAGUCAGUGGUGAAAGUCUGCAGCUUAACUGUAGAACUGCCAUUGAUACUGGUAUUCUUGAAUACAAUUGAGGUAGGCGGAAUGUGUAAUGUAGCGGUGAAAUGCAUAGAUAUUACACAGAACACCGAUUGCGAAGGCAGCUUGCUAAAUUGUUAUUGACGCUGAGGCACGAAAGCGUGGGGAUCAAACAGGAUUAGAUACCCC